This 240-nucleotide ribosomal RNA is filed under the name uncultured bacterium. Its description in RNAcentral is "partial 16S ribosomal RNA". It matches the Rfam family "Bacterial small subunit ribosomal RNA", at positions 332 to 590 of the family's 1533-position model. The record is from RNAcentral.
UGGACCUACGGGGGGCAGCAGUGGGGGAUAUUGCACAAUGGGGGGAACCCUGAUGCAGCGACGCCGCGUGGGCGAUGGAGCGCCUCGGCGCGUAAAGCCCUAUCAGCAGGGAAGAGGAAGGACGGUACCUGCAGAGGAAGCCACGGCUAACUACGUGCCAGCAGCCGCGGUAAUACGUAGGUGGCAAGCGUUGUUCGGAAUAACUGGGCGUAAAGGAUGCGUAGGCGGUUAAACAAGGUA